Molecule: long non-coding RNA, 914 nt
Filed under: Ananas comosus (pineapple)
Lineage: Eukaryota; Viridiplantae; Streptophyta; Magnoliopsida; Poales; Bromeliaceae
Description: long non-coding RNA (ACOM_LNC021519)
Source: RNAcentral
UUAGAUAGAUUAUUUUUUUUAUUUUAUAUGGAACUAUCGGGUGCCAGAAUAAUUACAGUAUGAUUAUCUGCGACGUUCUUAAAAUUUAAAAUAAUUCUAUAUAUAAGGUAUAGUAAUGUAAAUUUUUUUUAAAAAACAAUUUAAGUACUACCCAUAUAGUUUCGCACUUUUUCAGUUUAAUAUCAUGUAGUUUAAAGUAUAUUAAUUUAGUAUCCUGCGGUUUUGUUUUUCUUUUUUUAUUAUCCAUUCCACUAAUUAUUUUCCAUUAAAUUACUGACAAAAUUAAAACGAAAAGAUACUAGAGCGUGAAUAUUCGAUAAACUAAGAUGGGUAUCUAAGGUUUUAUAUAUAAUUUAACAAAAUAUAAAUUGAGGAGCUAACAAAAAGAGAAAAAUAAAACCACAGGGUGCUAACUUAAUACAUUUUAAACCAUAGGAUACUAAAGUGAAAAAAUGUGAAACCACACAGGUAGUAUUUGAAAUUUGCCCAUUUUUUAAGCCAACUAUAGUAUUUUGAGCGGUUAAGAGGGUUAAACGAGUCAAAAGAUAACGAGUAGUUUUAGGAUAAGUGACCUUUCUAAAGAGCGGCACAUUACAGAUGGUAUUGAAGCCAAUCACUAGUCAGAAGUAUGAGAUAAGUCUUAACUGAGUCGAGGUUACACAGCUUGCAAGAGCACGGCUCUCUGGCUGACAACAGUAUUGGGAGGACUUUGACUCUCCACAAGAUUGGUUAAGACUAGCAAAAUAAAUCUCACAUCGUCCGAUACUUGUUAAUGUCGCUUUAUAAAGAAGUUAAGCUUUAAAGGAGAAGGAAAUAUGACAACUCUAAAAUUUAGAAUAGUCAUAGUAAAGUUAAACCUCUUAGCUUAGCUAUAAUAUUGGACUGGCUAGACUCAAGGGGUUAAAGAGAGUUAU